CCUACGGGGGGCAGCAGUGGGGAAUAUUGGACAAUGGGGGCAACCCUGAUCCAGCCAUGCCGCGUGUGUGAAGAAGGCCCUCGGGUUGUAAAGCACUUUCAGUGAGGAAGAACGCCUGGUGGUUAAUACCCAUCAGGAAAGACAUCACUCACAGAAGAAGCACCGGCUAACUCCGUGCCAGCAGCCGCGGUAAUACGGAGGGUGCGAGCGUUAAUCGGAAUUACUGGGCGUAAAGCGCGCGUAGGUGGCUUGAUAAGCCGGUUGUGAAAGCCCCGGGCUCAACCUGGGAACGGCAUCCGGAACUGUCAAGCUAGAGUGCAGGAGAGGAAGGUAGAAUUCCCGGUGUAGCGGUGAAAUGCGUAGAGAUCGGGAGGAAUACCAGUGGCGAAGGCGGUCUUCUGGACUGACACUGACACUGAGGUGCGAAAGCGUGGGUAGCAAACAGGAUUAGAUACCCCAGUAGGC
Molecule: ribosomal RNA, 465 nt
Filed under: Vreelandella stevensii
Lineage: Bacteria; Pseudomonadati; Pseudomonadota; Gammaproteobacteria; Oceanospirillales; Halomonadaceae
Description: partial 16S ribosomal RNA
Rfam family: Bacterial small subunit ribosomal RNA
Source: RNAcentral